RNAcentral lists this ribosomal RNA (406 nucleotides) under uncultured bacterium. RNAcentral's name for it is "partial 16S ribosomal RNA". It matches the Rfam family "Bacterial small subunit ribosomal RNA", at positions 30 to 526 of the family's 1533-position model. The record is from RNAcentral.
AUCGAACGCUGGCGGCAUGCUUAAUACAUGCAAGUCGAGCGAGCGGCGGACUGGUGAGUAAUGUCUGAGAAACUGCCUAACCGACGCGGCUAACUGCUGGAAACGGUAGAUACUACCGCUUACCACCAGAUGUGCCCAGAUGGGAUUAGCUAGUAGGUGGGGUAAUGGCUCACCUAGGCGACGAGCCCUAGCUGGUCUGAGAGGCUGACCAGACACACUGGAACUGAGACACGGUCCAGACUCCUACGGGAGGCAGCAGUGGGGAAUAUUGCACAAUGGGCGCAAGCCUGAUGCAGCCAUGCCGCGUGUGUGAAGAAGGCCUUCGGGUUGUAAAGCACUUUCAGCGGGGAGGCGUUACUCACAGAAGAAGCACCGGCUAACUCCGUGCCAGCAGCCGCGGUAAUAC